Molecule: ribosomal RNA, 301 nt
Filed under: Bacillus thuringiensis serovar finitimus
Lineage: Bacteria; Bacillati; Bacillota; Bacilli; Caryophanales; Bacillaceae
Also listed under: 1 other name
Description: partial 23S ribosomal RNA
Rfam family: Bacterial large subunit ribosomal RNA
Source: RNAcentral
GUUUGGUUAAGUUAGAAAGGGCGCACGGUGGAUGCCUUGACACUAGGAGUCGAUGAAGGACGGGACUAACGCCGAUAUGCUUCGGGGAGCUGUAAGUAAGCUUUGAUCCGAAGAUUUCCGAAUGGGGAAACCCACCAUACGUAAUGGUAUGGUAUCCUUAUCUGAAUACAUAGGGUAAGGAAGACAGACCCAGGGAACUGAAACAUCUAAGUACCUGGAGGAAGAGAAAGCAAAUGCGAUUUCCUGAGUAGCGGCGAGCGAAACGGAACAUAGCCCAAACCAAGAGGCUUGCCUCUUGGGG